RNAcentral lists this ribosomal RNA (287 nucleotides) under Escherichia coli. RNAcentral's name for it is "partial 16S ribosomal RNA". It matches the Rfam family "Bacterial small subunit ribosomal RNA", at positions 1 to 284 of the family's 1533-position model. The record is from RNAcentral. Lineage: Bacteria; Pseudomonadati; Pseudomonadota; Gammaproteobacteria; Enterobacterales; Enterobacteriaceae.
AAAUUGAAGAGUUUGAUCAUGGCUCAGAUUGAACGCUGGCGGCAGGCCUAACACAUGCAAGUCGAACGGUAACAGGAAGCAGCUUGCUGCUUUGCUGACGAGUGGCGGACGGGUGAGUAAUGUCUGGGAAACUGCCCGAUGGAGGGGGAUAACUACUGGAAACGGUAGCUAAUACCGCAUAACGUCGCAAGACCAAAGAGGGGGACCUUAGGGCCUCUUGCCAUCGGAUGUGCCCAGAUGGGAUUAGCUAGUAGGUGGGGUAAUGGCUCACCUAGGCGACGAUCCCU